Molecule: ribosomal RNA, 496 nt
Filed under: uncultured bacterium
Lineage: Bacteria
Description: partial 16S ribosomal RNA
Rfam family: Bacterial small subunit ribosomal RNA
Source: RNAcentral
AUGAACGCUGGCGGCGUGCCUAAUACAUGCAAGUCGAGCGAACAGACGAGGAGCUUGCUCCUCUGACGUUAGCGGCGGACGGGUGAGUAACACGUGGAUAACCUACCUAUAAGACUGGGAUAACUUCGGGAAACCGGAGCUAAUACCGGAUAAUAUAUUGCACCGCAUGGUUCAAUAGUGAAAGACGGUUUUGCUGUCACUUAUAGAUGGAUCCGCGCCGCAUUAGCUAGUUGGUAAGGUAACGGCUUACCAAGGCAACGAUGCGUAGCCGACCUGAGAGGGUGAUCGGCCACACUGGAACUGAGACACGGUCCAGACUCCUACGGGAGGCAGCAGUAGGGAAUCUUCCGCAAUGGGCGAAAGCCUGACGGAGCAACGCCGCGUGAGUGAUGAAGGUCUUCGGAUCGUAAAACUCUGUUAUUAGGGAAGAACAAAUGUGUAAGUAACUAUGCACGUCUUGACGGUACCUAAUCAGAAAGCCACGGCUAACUACGUG